Molecule: long non-coding RNA, 1142 nt
Organism: Pseudophryne corroboree (corroboree frog)
Lineage: Eukaryota; Metazoa; Chordata; Amphibia; Anura; Myobatrachidae
Exons: 2
Source: RefSeq, a predicted model, not a curated record
GCACUGCUCCAGCUGCAGCGCGCCGGGAUGCCGAGGAGACAGAGUGCAUGCGGCGCUGACUAUGAGCGGCUCCCCCCUCCCUGCCUCCUUACUCACAGCACUGUUCUUGCAGCGGUACAUGGAGAAGGGGGGGAGAGCAGAAGACAGCACCGCGAGAGCCAGGUGCAGAGAGCUGGGAGUGCUUUAUGCAGCGGGCGGCGCUAACUCCCUUCCUCCACUGCUCUCUCCCAGGGAGCAGCACUGACACCUCUGCGGAAGGCACAUAUGCCCAGGCCAGGACCCAGCAUUUAACAAUGGACUUAUUACAAAGGACUAUUGUAGCUAUAGAAUAUAAAGAUAAAGAACAUGAGAAGAUGGACCAAUUGCAAAUGGAGGAAAUGGACAUUUUAAACAAAGAUAAAAAGAUGUCAUGUUGUGGAGGACCCCGGGAAAAUGGCCGCCUCACUACAUCCGGUGACGUUACUUCCAGGAAGAUGAAAAGGGAAUUAAACAGCUAGGUCUGUGCCACAUUGUGCAGCGAUUACAGGAGAUGACGUGACCAGAUGUGGGGAUGCUUCCGGUUCCGGCUGGCAUUCUAGCACGGCUGAUGUGAGGGAAUUGGUUGUCGGAAGUAGCCGGGCACUCGCGUCUAGGUACUUCCGGUAGCGGAGGUCUGACGCAGAUCGUUGGCAAAGGGGAUGGCCCCCUUUUUGGCAGGAAAUUCUGGAGAUAACGCCUAUGUGGGGGCGGGAAUCGGGACAACCCUGAAACAUGUAUUAGAAUAGGAAAUCAUUGUAUUAGCUAUAGGGAAAUUGAGAAAUGCUGGUUUUGUAUCAAUUCAACAGGCCAUUGGUGGAAAGAUUGAAGGAAUGGUAUAAAUAGUUGUGAUUGUACAGGAGUCCCUCAUACCUUGAAAAAGAUCCUCUAUAGGAUCGAAACGCAUCGGUGGGACUUCUUCUUUCCAUGGUGUACCUGUCUGGAAAAGCGGUGAGACUUUUUUCCCCAAUUUUCGGGAUCCAUUUAACAUCUAGGGAAAUAAGUCUCUCCUAACCGGGCACAAAAGGUCACCUUUUUAUGUAAAUUUUAUGUGUUUUUAUGGAUCAUUUUGUAUGUUUUGGAGAUCAUUCCAAUUUUGUGGAAUAAAAUUUGUCAUUUUUAUACAA